This 69-nucleotide antisense RNA is filed under the name Actinophytocola xanthii. RNAcentral describes it as "ASpks TB sRNA". It matches the Rfam family "ASpks TB sRNA". Lineage: Bacteria; Bacillati; Actinomycetota; Actinomycetes; Pseudonocardiales; Pseudonocardiaceae. The record is from Rfam by way of RNAcentral.
CUUCACCGAGCCCAGCAGCAGUGGCGCCGCGCGGUGCUGGCCGUAGGUGGCGAGCAGGGCCUGCGCCUC